CGACUUACAGAGCUGGUGAAAGGUAGCUCAGGCUGAAGCAAUUUUUACGAAUGAUAUGCAGCAGUUCAUAAGUCAGUAAAUUUUGAACGGCAUCGUUGUACUUCCCAAGUAGUUUUCCCUAGUCUCAAAAGACUCUUUCUGUCUGCAAGCUGGAGGUGUCUGAAACACUUAUUAGACCUAUCAGUGUGUCAGCAGUGUUGAAGUACUUCUAUUGUCUUGGAAGGCCAGUGCGCCAUGCUGUACAAAUAAACGGAUGAACACAGCCUCUCCCUCCUUCCUAAGAGUUCCAAUUCAGACAGAAGAUGGCAGCUCUCCCUUUUCAGUCUUUUAACCCUGGGUAUUUUGUCUAGUAACAAAUCAGACUUCCUG
Molecule: long non-coding RNA, 369 nt
Filed under: Zonotrichia albicollis (white-throated sparrow)
Lineage: Eukaryota; Metazoa; Chordata; Aves; Passeriformes; Passerellidae
Description: lncRNA (ENSZALG00000017646.1)
Source: RNAcentral